CAGGACCCAGGUUUCCAGCAGAGGUUGCACCAGUGCCAAAUACAGAGGUAAAAUAACUUUUUGCUCCUACUCCAGAUUCCUCUGUUCAUGCAUCCCAGGAUCACAUUAGCUCUUU
Molecule: non-coding RNA, 115 nt
Organism: Chelonoidis abingdonii (Abingdon island giant tortoise)
Lineage: Eukaryota; Metazoa; Chordata; Testudines; Testudinidae
Source: RefSeq, a predicted model, not a curated record